AUUGAACGCUGGCGGAAUGCUUUACACAUGCAAGUCGAACGGCAGCACGGACUUCGGUCUGGUGGCGAGUGGCGAACGGGUGAGUAAUGUAUCGGAACGUGCCAGUCGUGGGGGAUAACGUAGUGAAAAUUACGCUAAUACCGCAUACGAUCUAUGGAUGAAAGCGGGGGAUCGCAAGACCUCGCGCGAUUGGAGCGGCCGAUAUCAGAUUAGGUAGUUGGUGGGGUAAAGGCCCACCAAGCCAACGAUCUGUAGCUGGUCUGAGAGGACGACCAGCCACACUGGAACUGGGACACGGUCCAGACUCCUACGGGAGGCAGCAGUGGGGAAUUUUGGACAAUGGGCGAAAUCCUGAUCCAGCCAUUCCGCGUGCAGGAUGAAGGCCCUCGGGUUGUAAACUGCUUUUGUACAGAACGAAAAGGUUUCUACUAAUACUAGGAGCUCAUGACGGUACUGUAAGAAUAAGCACCGGCUAACUACGUGCCAGCCGCCGCUGUAA
This 499-nucleotide ribosomal RNA is filed under the name uncultured bacterium. RNAcentral describes it as "partial 16S ribosomal RNA". It matches the Rfam family "Bacterial small subunit ribosomal RNA", at positions 30 to 523 of the family's 1533-position model. The record is from RNAcentral.